This 922-nucleotide ribosomal RNA is filed under the name Massilia brevitalea. Its description in RNAcentral is "bacterial SSU rRNA". It matches the Rfam family "Bacterial small subunit ribosomal RNA", at positions 89 to 1005 of the family's 1533-position model. Lineage: Bacteria; Pseudomonadati; Pseudomonadota; Betaproteobacteria; Burkholderiales; Oxalobacteraceae. The record is from RNAcentral.
GGGCGAGUGGCGAACGGGUGAGUAAUAUAUCGGAACGUACCCAAGAGUGGGGGAUAACGUAGCGAAAGUUACGCUAAUACCGCAUACGAUCUAAGGAUGAAAGCAGGGGAUCUUCGGACCUUGUGCUCCUGGNGCGGCCGAUAUCUGAUUAGCUNGUUGGUGAGGUAAAGGCUCACCAAGGCCACGAUCAGUAGCUGGUCUGAGAGGACGACCAGCCACACUGGAACUGAGACACGGUCCAGACUCCUACGGGAGGCAGCAGUGGGGAAUUUUGGACAAUGGGCGAAAGCCUGAUCCAGCAAUGCCGCGUGAGUGAAGAAGGCCUUCGGGUUGUAAAGCUCUUUGUCAGGGAAGAAACCGGUGAGGGCUAAUAUCCUUACGCUAAUGACGGUACCUGAAGAAUAAGCACCGGCUAACUACGUGCCAGCAGCCGCGGUAAUACGUAGGGUGCAAGCGUUAAUCGGAAUUACUGGGCGUAAAGCGUGCGCAGGCGGUUUUGUAAGUCUGACGUGAAAUCCCCGGGCUCAACCUGGGAAUUGCGUUGGAGACUGCAAGGCUAGAAUCUGGCAGAGGGGGGUAGAAUUCCACGUGUAGCAGUGAAAUGCGUAGAGAUGUGGAGGAACACCGAUGGCGAAGGCAGCCCCCUGGGUCAAGANNNNNNNNNUCAUGCACGAAAGCGUGGGGAGCAAACAGGAUUAGAUACCCUGGUAGUCCACGCCCUAAACGAUGUCUACUAGUUGUCGGGUUUUAAUUAACUUGGUAACGCAGCUAACGCGUGAAGUAGACCGCCUGGGGAGUACGGUCGCAAGAUUAAAACUCAAAGGAAUUGACGGGGACCCGCACAAGCGGUGGAUGAUGUGGAUUAAUUCGAUGCAACGCGAAAAACCUUACCUACCCUUGACAUGUACGGAAGACCGANGAG